This 253-nucleotide ribosomal RNA is filed under the name uncultured bacterium. RNAcentral's name for it is "partial 16S ribosomal RNA". It matches the Rfam family "Bacterial small subunit ribosomal RNA", at positions 524 to 776 of the family's 1533-position model. The record is from RNAcentral.
UACGGGGGGUGCGAGCGUUGUCCGGAAUCACUGGGCGUAAAGGGCGCGUAGGUGGUUUGAUAAGGGUGUGGUGAAAGUCCGGGGCUCAACCCCGGAUCUGCCGUGCCGACUGUCAAACUCGAGGGCUGUAGAGGCAGACGGAAUUCCGGGUGUAGCGGUGGAAUGCGCAGAUAUCAGGAGGAACACCGGUGGCGAAGGCGGGUCUCUGGGCCGAUACUGACGCUGAGGAGCGAAAGCGUGGGGAGCGAACAGG